GCGAGAGUGGCGAAACGGGUAGACGCGCUAGACUUAGGAUCUAGUGUCCUUGCGGACGUGGGGGUUCGAGUCCCUUCUCUCGCACCG
This 87-nucleotide transfer RNA is filed under the name bacterium. RNAcentral describes it as "tRNA-Leu". It matches the Rfam family "tRNA". Rfam says of the family: Transfer RNA (tRNA) molecules are approximately 80 nucleotides in length. The record is from RNAcentral.